UGGGGAAUAUUGGACAAUGGGCGAAAGCCUGAUCCAGCCAUGCCGCGUGUGUGAAGAAGGUCUUCGGAUUGUAAAGCACUUUAAGUUGGGAGGAAGGGCAGUAAGCGAAUACCUUGCUGUUUUGACGUUACCGACAGAAUAAGCACCGGCCAACUCUGUGCCAGCAGCCGCGGUAAUACAGAGGGUGCAAGCGUUAAUCGGAAUUACUGGGCGUAAAGCGCGCGUAGGUGGUUCGUUAAGUUGAAUGUGAAAGCCCCGGGCUCGACCUGGGAACUGCAUCCAAUACUGGCGAGCUAGAGUAGGGCAGAGGGUGGUGGAAUUUCCUGUGUGGCGGUGAAAGGCGUAGUUAUAGGAAGGAACACCAGUGGCGAAGGCGACCACCUGGGCUCAUACUGACGCUGAGGUGCGAAAGCGUGGGGGGCAAACAGG
RNAcentral lists this ribosomal RNA (429 nucleotides) under Pseudomonadota bacterium. RNAcentral's name for it is "Proteobacteria bacterium partial 16S ribosomal RNA". It matches the Rfam family "Bacterial small subunit ribosomal RNA", at positions 355 to 776 of the family's 1533-position model. The record is from RNAcentral. Lineage: Bacteria; Pseudomonadati; Pseudomonadota.